CCUCGGAUCGACCCCGUACCCACGCCGACGGAGGAGAAGUGGACACGUGCUCAGUUAGAGAAGAGAACGGCACCUGCAGUCACCUGGGGCCAGAGGAUGUGGCAGACGCAUUUCAGCAGGCUUCUCAGUCCCAACAGGUCUCUUGAGAUGCGGGGCAGGCCCAGAGUCUAUGGGGCAUCUGUGGCAUGACUUGGCUGCUCGCUGCGCAGAGGAAGCGUCAAGCAGUCCCAGCCUCACCUGAACCUUUGGAACCUCCCCCUUGUGAGGCCCAGAGUUCAUCUGCUUCUCCGAGGUGUUUCCUGAACCACAGCCAACCUGAGUCCAGCUACCAGUUACUGAACAGCUGCUACCUUGAGAGGGACUGACCGACAUCGAGGACCUGGACUCCAGAACCCUGCUUUUGACCGGGAGACCUCCCAACUCGGAGCUCAAAUAAAUACGAGUGUGUUCGUUCUCAAUCCUGGAACCCGUGAGCCAAGCUGCAUUUUACGUCUGCAUCCUCUACCCCCUGUUACAGGAGCCUGUUGCCUUUAACGAACCUGAGUCAGUCUAGCGAGGAGAACUGCUCGCCAGGGCUAAUUAUCAUCGCGGCGAUGUGAGUAAAUGAAGGAAAGUGAGUCAUGCACUAGGGCGGUUUUAUGACGGCUGUGAGGGAAGGCAAAUCAAAUGUACGCAUCUAAACUGCAGGGACCUGCGAGCGGCUGAAUCAUACGUCCGAGUGAAUAUGAGUUUUAUGGCGUGCGCCUGGAGAUCCUUAACAUAAUUGUCCUGCUGCUUUGGUCAGGUUGUUCUCUGCCCGGAGGCCCAGUGGUGACCUCUCCAAACACGUCAAGUGGAGCCCUGAACUCUUCAAAUGGAGGCCACCCAUCUUGGGAAGAAAGACAACAGAAAAGAAAGAAAGAGAGUGGCGAAGUCAUAUUUCCACUGCAGAGUUGCCUGAAGAGCUCGCUCCCUUCCUGCCCUGGCUCUGUUCCCGUCAGUGCAUCCCUUGUAGCGAGUCUUAGCUCAGCAGCCUUCACGGGGUGGCCUACAGGGCAAUGAAGUGACCCAAGAAAGAGGAUGGCAUUUCUCCAACCCCCUCACCACCUGUGUGUGUUCACCAGGGAGGUGUUCUUGCCGUCUGGUCCCAGAUGUCCUAAUGCCUCCUUCGCGUAUGGGUUUGUUCAUUGAUUUAGUUAAUGAUUUGAUUUCUAAGUCUGCCCAGGCACUCUUGGAAAUGUCCUGUAGGAUAUAGACACGAAUCAGCAUGAACUCUGUUCUCAGGAAGCCUGCAGGGUAGGAGAGAAGGUUGGGCGGGUGCCACUGAAGCCUUCACACAGCUAAGGGGCUGUAGGUGGGCUUCCAGCGUGGGCUCUGGACCGCCUCGGCAUGACCCCUGCUCCCCAGCGGCAGAGUUAUUUGCUACUCGCAUCCAUAAAAUGUGGAUGAUAAUAGUUCCCACCCACUGGAUUGUUUUGAGGAAAGCACCUGACACAGUGUUGGUGGUCACUAAGUGUUACCUCACGGUUUCCUCCACAAAUAAGUGGCAAGUAUCCUAACUGAGAAACCACUGACGUGCUCUGAGGUUCAGAGACAGAUGUGUCCUGGGGCCUGGAGAGGUUCACAACGCAGGCAGCCUUUGGGCCAGGCCUGGACGGCUCAGCUGAGAUCUCUCUGCGAUGCCCAUCGGAGUCGGUGCUCCCAGCAUUAGAGAAGCAGGACUUUGCCCCAUUUCUCUGUGCGUAUCUAUCGGUGUUUAAUACACAACUGGUUCUUUAAACAUGUUUUCUGGGGACACUGAGGAAAAGGAUGAUUUCUUACGUAAGGGUUAGUUGUUUGUUCUUCAGCUAAUCAAGCCACUCUUCACUUGACUUUGAGGAAGUUCUUUCACCUCUCUGAGACUCUUUAUCCUUUUGGAGUAGAGAAGGCCUAUACUCAGUAAGCAUUGUGGCUUUUUUAAACCAGCUCUGAACUAUGGUGAUUAUUAACAAUAUUGCUGUGAGUUUUAGCCUCGCACAUCAUUCACGUGGUUUACAAAGAGUUGACUACAAAUUGUGUGGAACUUGGGCCUGUGUUUGAGUGACUGAUUUCUCUCCAAAGUUUUAUGUUAUAAAAUCGUGAACGGAGCUUUCCAAAACCAUGACUGCGAAAUAUUCUAUUUGACCAACAAUACUUAAAGUGUUUAUGUCCAUAUUUACCAAUUCUAUCCUUAUCUACCCACCCACUCUUCUGUCUGUCUGCUUCUUCUCGUUUCACCUAGUUAGGCAAAAACAACCAGCUUACCACUGGUAUAAGCCUGCAAAUACAGAAAUCUCUAAAGAGAACAGACUUUUUUUUGGAGAUUUGUGACCUAAUUUUAAUUAGACGCACUACCUAAUUUCACUCUGUUUUGGUUUAUUCAUUCUUGUUACGGGUCCACAUACUAUAUUACUCAAAGAAAAAAUUGGAACUUUUGUUUGUUUUUUAUGGGCUGGAAUCAUUGAUAUGUUUUGGAAUAUCACUGUGUCCUUUACUCAGGACAUACGACACACGUUGUAGAUAACAGAAUCCGCUGGACCUUGUUUAAGAGAAAGAGACUUAAUUUAGGGAAUGGGAAGGGCAGGAGCAGGUUCUAAGCCAAAUUGUCAGGAACUGUCACGGAAUGGCCUACCUAGGGAGCCGCUGCCUUUUCUUUUUUUUUUUUGAGGAAGAUUAUCCCUGAGCCAACUACUGCCAAUCCUCCUCUUUUUUUGC
Molecule: long non-coding RNA, 2712 nt
Organism: Equus quagga
Lineage: Eukaryota; Metazoa; Chordata; Mammalia; Perissodactyla; Equidae
Exons: 3
Source: RefSeq, a predicted model, not a curated record